ACACCCGUUCCCAUUCCGAACACGGAAGUUAAGACCUGCUGCGCCGAUGGUACUGCAUGGGAAACUGUGUGGGAGAGUAGGACGUCGCCGGAG
Molecule: ribosomal RNA, 93 nt
Filed under: Chitinispirillales bacterium
Lineage: Bacteria; Pseudomonadati; Fibrobacterota; Chitinispirillia; Chitinispirillales
Source: RNAcentral